GGUACCGUAGCCAAGUGGUAAGGCCCCGGUCUGCAAAACCGUUAUUCGCCAGUUCAAAUCUGGCCGGUACCUCCA
RNAcentral lists this transfer RNA (75 nucleotides) under Bacillota bacterium. RNAcentral's name for it is "tRNA-Cys". It matches the Rfam family "tRNA". From Rfam's summary of the family: Transfer RNA (tRNA) molecules are approximately 80 nucleotides in length. The record is from RNAcentral. RNAcentral also lists the same sequence under 1 other name. Lineage: Bacteria; Bacillati; Bacillota.